RNAcentral lists this long non-coding RNA (1335 nucleotides) under Sarcophilus harrisii (Tasmanian devil). RNAcentral describes it as "lncRNA (ENSSHAG00000023410.1)". Lineage: Eukaryota; Metazoa; Chordata; Mammalia; Dasyuromorphia; Dasyuridae. The record is from RNAcentral.
CAGUGCGCCCGCGCCCGCAGCCCGCCCAAAGUUUCCCCUUGGGCAUUCGCAGGAUCUGGGCUCUGGCACCAAGACUUCGCUCCACCCCCUUAUUUCCAAGCCGGGAAACCGGAGCCCCCAAGAGAGGGAAGGCCACCUGCCCAAGGUUACCCGGGCCAUAGCGACCCAGACCACCUCUAGUCCCGGCCGCCCAGAAACAAGUGACCCGGUGGAGCCUCAGUUUCCUCAUCUGGAAAAUGGGGCAGCAAGACUAAGACUUAAGCUGCAGAACGAUGGCUGAUCCAACCCCCAAAGGAAAGAAAUACUUCCCCUCAUCCAGCUGUUCUGAGACUUGAAAGGAGCUGAUAUAGGACACGUUCUGGCAUCUCCGGGUGAGGGGAGGAAGCUUCAGUUAUCAUCAUCAUCGUCAUGGUUUCUAAACUCGUAGGGACUCAGAUUCGGAAUUGGAAAGGGGGGUUGGGGAGUGGAAGUAGACUCCCAGCCCAAUACUCUUAUCACUGCAUCAGGAAGCCAUUCACAAGUCCUGAUCCUCUGGGCCAGGGAGCAGUAUCACCUCACUGUUAUCAAAACUUAGGAAGAAGAAAUGUAAACAAACGCUCGAUCACCACACACACACACUCACCCAGAAAAGAGGGCUGAUCAUGUGACAAGAGCAAGGUUAAAUGGACAAAGUUAGAGAUAUGGGAACUCCUGUGGGGAGGCUGCAGAGGGUCUCCAUGGGGAGAAGUCUCACAAGAGGGGCAGUUAAGAACAGUUUGUCAUCUGCAUUGAGGAAAGUAAUGAUUCCUUGUUAAGAUCUGUUUAAGUUUUCAUGAUUAUAACUGUCACUACCAUCUCCUUAACAAAACACUGAUGAACCCUUGAAAACAGGAACAUGUCUCCAGCUUCUUUGUUACCUCCAGAAUGGGGCCCAUCUCUAGUCCUCCUGACCUAUGUCUGGCCACUGGACUCUAUCGAUGACUCUGGAGGAGAUCGUGAAAUGGGUGACUUUGCAGAGUUGUGCCUCACUUUAAUUCAGUUCGUUUGCAAGUCAAGACAUCACCCUCCUGUUGUCCUCUUCAUGAACGAAAGGGCAAACAGCAACAACUAGAAUAAAACAAUGUCCAGAGUAGCAAUGGACUGGGCUGCCUGCUCUGUGGGAUUUCAAAAAUUCAAAAGAUCUUUGCUUUCUAAGGAACCUACAUGUCCUGUCUGCAGUAGCAACUCCUGAACAAAGGCACAAUUUCUGGUUUCCUGAUGCUGAUCUAAGAACAGCCCCUUUGGCUCUGACCUGGUGAUGACAGCUGAGCCAAUGGUCCUAGAAAUAGUUAGAAAGGAGAAGAAAGAAGAGGAAGA